This 383-nucleotide unclassified non-coding RNA is filed under the name Bombus terrestris (buff-tailed bumblebee). RNAcentral's name for it is "misc RNA ENSBTSG00005033783.1". Lineage: Eukaryota; Metazoa; Arthropoda; Insecta; Hymenoptera; Apidae. The record is from RNAcentral.
GUUUCAACGUCGAAACAUAAAGAUCUGUGCGAAAAAUGCGACCACAUACUCGAUUCUGACGACAAACUGAGCGCUAUUUCGUUAUUGUUGGAGAUAUUUCGACGUUUAAACGCUAUGUCCAUUGCAUUUUACACGCCGAAUGCUAUGCACGCCGUUUCUUUUAUCCUGGAAACAUGCCCAACUGUGCGCAAAAUAAGACCAUUUACUCGAUUUUGACGAAAACUGUGCGUUAUAUCGGUCCUGUUGGAGAUAUUUCGACGUUUAAACGCUAUUUCUAUUGCAUUUUACACGCCGAAUUCUAUACACGCCGUUUUCAGCGUCGAGACAAGCCCAACUGUGCGCAAAAUGCGACCAUUUACUCGAUUCUGACGACAAACUGAGCG